AACGAACGCUGGCGGCAUGCCUAACACAUGCAAGUCGAACGAGACCUUCGGGUCUGGUGGCGCACGGGUGCGUCACGCGUGGGAACCUGCCCUUAGGUUCGGAAUAACUCCCCGAAAGGGGUGCUAAUACCGGAUAAUGUCUUCGGACCCAAGAUUUAUCGCCUUUGGAUGGGCCCGCGUUGGAUUAGCUAGGUGGUAGGGUAAAAGCCUACCAAGGCGACGAUCCAUAGCUGGUCUGAGAGGAUGAUCAGCCACACUGGGACUGGGACACGGCCCAGACUCCUACGGGAGGCAGCAGUGGGGAAUAUUGGACAAUGGGCGAAAGCCUGAUCCAGCAAGGCCGCGUGAGUGAUGAAGGCCUUAGGGUUGUAAAGCUCUUUUACCCGGGAUGAUAAUGACAGUACCGGGAGAAUAAGCUCCGGCUAACUCCGUG
This 433-nucleotide ribosomal RNA is filed under the name uncultured bacterium. RNAcentral describes it as "partial 16S ribosomal RNA". It matches the Rfam family "Bacterial small subunit ribosomal RNA", at positions 29 to 507 of the family's 1533-position model. The record is from RNAcentral.